GAUGAAGAACGCAGCGAAAUGCGAUAAGUAAUGUGAAUUGCAGAAUUCAGUGAAUCAUCGAAUCUUUGAACGCACAUUGCGCCCGCCAGUAUUCUGGCGGGCAUGCCUGUUCGAGCGUCAUUUCAACCCUCAAGCACUGCUUGGUGUUGGGGACCGGCUUGCCUUCAGCGCCUGCCGCCCCCGAAAUACAGUGGCGGUCUCGCCGCAGCCUCCUCUGCGUAGUAGUUUUCUCCUCGCAAGGGCAGCUCGACGACGACCACGCCGUAAAACCCCCAACUUCUGAAAGGUUGACCUCGAAUCAGGUAGGAAUACCCGCUGAACUUAAGCAUAUCAAUAAGCGGAGGA
Molecule: unclassified non-coding RNA, 345 nt
Filed under: soil metagenome
Description: partial contains 5.8S ribosomal RNA, internal transcribed spacer 2, and large subunit ribosomal RNA
Rfam family: 5.8S ribosomal RNA (bases 1-120)
Source: RNAcentral